GGCGGCACCUCGCAAUUGUUUGGCCUGGCUUGAGGGAGCUGGAGAGGCAGUCAACUUUUUCAUUUCCAUGUUUUCCGACUGCACUUUCUGCCAUCGCUGUUGCUCGUCUUAUUGUGUUCUGUAUUUAAUGAAUAAUUUUUAAUAGUUUGAUAUUGCUGCAAGCUGCAUCUUGAGGAAAGACGGGGGACAGCAGCCAUUUCCGUCGUGCAGGUGGAUUAAUUUGCAG
This 226-nucleotide long non-coding RNA is filed under the name Drosophila guanche. Lineage: Eukaryota; Metazoa; Arthropoda; Insecta; Diptera; Drosophilidae. The record is from RNAcentral.